Long non-coding RNA from Heterocephalus glaber (naked mole-rat), 636 nucleotides. RefSeq lists it as uncharacterized. The record is from RefSeq and is a predicted model, not a curated record. Lineage: Eukaryota; Metazoa; Chordata; Mammalia; Rodentia; Bathyergidae.
GAAGAGCACUGGUCAGGGAUUUUGUAAAAUGCCCCUCUAGCAGAAUUUUUCUGGUGUUUUUCUCAUGGCUGGACUGAGAUUAUAGAGUUUUUUGGAGGAAACUCACAUAAGUAAAGUGCUUUUCUCAUUACACCUUAGCAAAAGUUCAUGAUAUGAAGAUGCCUUCGCACUAUUGAACUGUUAACCUUGCUCCAGUGCCCAACAACACUCAUCCAAUAAGCAUAAUGAAUUUGGAGGGAUUUUCAUUGAAAACUGUAAAGUUUGUCCACACAGUUUUGAUUAUAUUCUACUACUCCGAUAGCCAACCUGACUCCAUCUUGAGCCUUACCACCAUUGUGUGCUUGUGGGGGACAAAGUAUUUGUGCUUGGACAAAGCACCUAAAAACCACAUCCUGUUUGGCAGAAAAAUUUGCUGCAGCUGCAAGAUGUUUUUCUGUAGCUCACCAAAAAUGUGAAACUUCCUCUUGCCCCCUACUAAUCUGGCACUAACCUGGCAUGGUUCUGCUUCUGUAAAAUUCCACUUGCUCUCCCCUUGAGCACUCCCCAAGUGAAAGCAUAGUUUAAAAGGAGAAACCAAACCACUCAUCAGUGUUGAGAGUUCUUUCCGGGCACUAGUCCCCUCCCUGUUGCUGGCUU